This 2905-nucleotide ribosomal RNA is filed under the name Escherichia coli. RNAcentral describes it as "23S ribosomal RNA". It matches the Rfam family "Bacterial large subunit ribosomal RNA". The record is from RNAcentral. Lineage: Bacteria; Pseudomonadati; Pseudomonadota; Gammaproteobacteria; Enterobacterales; Enterobacteriaceae.
GGUUAAGCGACUAAGCGUACACGGUGGAUGCCCUGGCAGUCAGAGGCGAUGAAGGACGUGCUAAUCUGCGAUAAGCGUCGGUAAGGUGAUAUGAACCGUUAUAACCGGCGAUUUCCGAAUGGGGAAACCCAGUGUGAUUCGUCACACUAUCAUUAACUGAAUCCAUAGGUUAAUGAGGCGAACCGGGGGAACUGAAACAUCUAAGUACCCCGAGGAAAAGAAAUCAACCGAGAUUCCCCCAGUAGCGGCGAGCGAACGGGGAGGAGCCCAGAGCCUGAAUCAGUGUGUGUGUUAGUGGAAGCGUCUGGAAAGGCGCGCGAUACAGGGUGACAGCCCCGUACACAAAAAUGCACAUACUGUGAGCUCGAUGAGUAGGGCGGGACACGUGGUAUCCUGUCUGAAUAUGGGGGGACCAUCCUCCAAGGCUAAAUACUCCUGACUGACCGAUAGUGAACCAGUACCGUGAGGGAAAGGCGAAAAGAACCCCGGCGAGGGGAGUGAAAAAGAACCUGAAACCGUGUACGUACAAGCAGUGGGAGCACGCUUCGGCGUGUGACUGCGUACCUUUUGUAUAAUGGGUCAGCGACUUAUAUUCUGUAGCAAGGUUAACCGAAUAGGGGAGCCGAAGGGAAACCGAGUCUUAACUGGGCGUUAAGUUGCAGGGUAUAGACCCGAAACCCGGUGAUCUAGCCAUGGGCAGGUUGAAGGUUGGGUAACACUAACUGGAGGACCGAACCGACUAAUGUUGAAAAAUUAGCGGAUGACUUGUGGCUGGGGGUGAAAGGCCAAUCAAACCGGGAGAUAGCUGGUUCUCCCCGAAAGCUAUUUAGGUAGCGCCUCGUGAAUUCAUCUCCGGGGGUAGAGCACUGUUUCGGCAAGGGGGUCAUCCCGACUUACCAACCCGAUGCAAACUGCGAAUACCGGAGAAUGUUAUCACGGGAGACACACGGCGGGUGCUAACGUCCGUCGUGAAGAGGGAAACAACCCAGACCGCCAGCUAAGGUCCCAAAGUCAUGGUUAAGUGGGAAACGAUGUGGGAAGGCCCAGACAGCCAGGAUGUUGGCUUAGAAGCAGCCAUCAUUUAAAGAAAGCGUAAUAGCUCACUGGUCGAGUCGGCCUGCGCGGAAGAUGUAACGGGGCUAAACCAUGCACCGAAGCUGCGGCAGCGACACUGUGUGUUGUUGGGUAGGGGAGCGUUCUGUAAGCCUGUGAAGGUGUACUGUGAGGUAUGCUGGAGGUAUCAGAAGUGCGAAUGCUGACAUAAGUAACGAUAAAGCGGGUGAAAAGCCCGCUCGCCGGAAGACCAAGGGUUCCUGUCCAACGUUAAUCGGGGCAGGGUGAGUCGACCCCUAAGGCGAGGCCGAAAGGCGUAGUCGAUGGGAAACAGGUUAAUAUUCCUGUACUUGGUGUUACUGCGAAGGGGGGACGGAGAAGGCUAUGUUGGCCGGGCGACGGUUGUCCCGGUUUAAGCGUGUAGGCUGGUUUUCCAGGCAAAUCCGGAAAAUCAAGGCUGAGGCGUGAUGACGAGGCACUACGGUGCUGAAGCAACAAAUGCCCUGCUUCCAGGAAAAGCCUCUAAGCAUCAGGUAACAUCAAAUCGUACCCCAAACCGACACAGGUGGUCAGGUAGAGAAUACCAAGGCGCUUGAGAGAACUCGGGUGAAGGAACUAGGCAAAAUGGUGCCGUAACUUCGGGAGAAGGCACGCUGAUAUGUAGGUGAAGUCCCUUGCGGAUGGAGCUGAAAUCAGUCGAAGAUACCAGCUGGCUGCAACUGUUUAUUAAAAACACAGCACUGUGCAAACACGAAAGUGGACGUAUACGGUGUGACGCCUGCCCGGUGCCGGAAGGUUAAUUGAUGGGGUUAGCGGUAACGCGAAGCUCUUGAUCGAAGCCCCGGUAAACGGCGGCCGUAACUAUAACGGUCCUAAGGUAGCGAAAUUCCUUGUCGGGUAAGUUCCGACCUGCACGAAUGGCGUAAUGAUGGCCAGGCUGUCUCCACCCGAGACUCAGUGAAAUUGAACUCGCUGUGAAGAUGCAGUGUACCCGCGGCAAGACGGAAAGACCCCGUGAACCUUUACUAUAGCUUGACACUGAACAUUGAGCCUUGAUGUGUAGGAUAGGUGGGAGGCUUUGAAGUGUGGACGCCAGUCUGCAUGGAGCCGACCUUGAAAUACCACCCUUUAAUGUUUGAUGUUCUAACGUUGACCCGUGAUCCGGGUUGCGGACAGUGUCUGGUGGGUAGUUUGACUGGGGCGGUCUCCUCCUAAAGAGUAACGGAGGAGCACGAAGGUUGGCUAAUCCUGGUCGGACAUCAGGAGGUUAGUGCAAUGGCAUAAGCCAGCUUGACUGCGAGCGUGACGGCGCGAGCAGGUGCGAAAGCAGGUCAUAGUGAUCCGGUGGUUCUGAAUGGAAGGGCCAUCGCUCAACGGAUAAAAGGUACUCCGGGGAUAACAGGCUGAUACCGCCCAAGAGUUCAUAUCGACGGCGGUGUUUGGCACCUCGAUGUCGGCUCAUCACAUCCUGGGGCUGAAGUAGGUCCCAAGGGUAUGGCUGUUCGCCAUUUAAAGUGGUACGCGAGCUGGGUUUAGAACGUCGUGAGACAGUUCGGUCCCUAUCUGCCGUGGGCGCUGGAGAACUGAGGGGGGCUGCUCCUAGUACGAGAGGACCGGAGUGGACGCAUCACUGGUGUUCGGGUUGUCAUGCCAAUGGCACUGCCCGGUAGCUAAAUGCGGAAGAGAUAAGUGCUGAAAGCAUCUAAGCACGAAACUUGCCCCGAGAUGAGUUCUCCCUGACUCCCUGAGAGUCCUGAAGGAACGUUGAAGACGACGACGUUGAUAGGCCGGGUGUGUAAGCGCAGCGAUGCGUUGAGCUAACCGGUACUAAUGAACCGUGAGGCUUAACCUU